AUGAUCUCUGUGACUUGGCUAUCAAGGUCACUCGCCACGAGCGCUUGCUGCGAAAAGUCGGACUUGAUGCAAUGGUGGCGGAGAUCAAGAUAACUAAGCCAGUUGUUUGCCUUGCUCUACGCAAAGCCCCACCCAAUAAGGCUGCCAUGCUAAACAAGCCUGGUAUGGAGCGGACUGCAGGCAAAUUUGCCAAUCGGCCACGUGACUUCACGUACGAUGUCUCAAAGGCUGAUGAGAUCUAUGAUUGCUUGGAAAAAGUAGGUUUAGUUGGGUCCCCAGAGCAUCAAGUCCAGUUAGACGCACUAAAGGGACAGAAACCCAUAUGCUAGUUUCAUGCCAGUCUAUUUACAACAUUGACCGCGGUAUCCUGCUUGCACGGACGACGUGUAGGAUUGCCGUAACUUCACUUUUUCGUUUUAGCGCUACUUGGAUACUUCAAGCCAAGAUCAGGACGAUGGGUGGGAGAUAGGGGCAUGCAUCCAAGAUCUUAUUUUCUCGUUGUUGCUUGUAACAUUAUUAACGAGAAAAAGUGGCAGGCUCUAUUUUCAUGCUUAAUGUUGUCGCCUUCGAAAUCGAUGCUUAAGUCGAUCGACUUGCAUUGGUGGUCUCUCUCUUCCCUCAUCGCAUGCGCUUCGCUUCGACCAGGUUUUAAGCCUUUGAUUGUCCGGUAG
Vicia faba (fava bean) is the source of this 671-nucleotide non-coding RNA. NCBI's taxonomy places the organism in Eukaryota, Viridiplantae, Streptophyta, Magnoliopsida, Fabales, Fabaceae. The record is from the annotation of a GenBank genome assembly.